CCCCGCUGACGAGCGGCGGACGGGUGAGUAAUGCAUAGGAAUCUGCCCGAUAGUGGGGGAUAACCUGGGGAAACCCAGGCUAAUACCGCAUACGUCCUACGGGAGAAAGGGGGCUUCGGCUCCCGCUAUCGGAUGAGCCUAUGUCGGAUUAGCUGGUUGGUGAGGUAAAGGCUCACCAAGGCGACGAUCCGUAGCUGGUCUGAGAGGAUGAUCAGCCACAUCGGGACUGAGACACGGCCCGAACUCCUACGGGAGGCAGCAGUGGGGAAUAUUGGACAAUGGGGGGAACCCUGAUCCAGCCAUGCCGCGUGUGUGAAGAAGGCCCUCGGGUUGUAAAGCACUUUCAGUGAGGAAGAACGCCUGGUGGUUAAUACCCAUCAGGAAAGACAUCACUCACAGAAGAAGCACCGGCUAACUCCGUGCCAGCAGCCGCGGUAAUACGGAGGGUGCGAGCGUUAAUCGGAAUUACUGGGCGUAAAGCGCGCGUAGGUGGCUUGAUAAGCCGGUUG
RNAcentral lists this ribosomal RNA (509 nucleotides) under Halomonas sp. Its description in RNAcentral is "bacterial SSU rRNA". It matches the Rfam family "Bacterial small subunit ribosomal RNA", at positions 83 to 594 of the family's 1533-position model. The record is from RNAcentral. Lineage: Bacteria; Pseudomonadati; Pseudomonadota; Gammaproteobacteria; Oceanospirillales; Halomonadaceae.